UACUUAGUGGCAGACGGGUGAGUAACAUGUGGGUAUCUACCCUUUGGCCUGGAAUAACACGAGGAAACUUGUGCUAAUACCGGAUAAGUCUUUACGGAGAAAGCUUUAUGCACCAUUGGAUGAGCCCGCACUUGAUUAGUUUGUUGGUAGGGUAAUGGCCUACCAAGACUAUGAUCAAUAGCUGAUUUGAGAGGAUGAUCAGCCACAUUGGGACUGAGACACGGCCCAAACUCCUACGGGAGGCAGCAGUGGGGAAUCUUGCACAACGGAGGAAACUCUGAUGCAGCGAUGCCGCGUGAGUGAAGAAGGCCUUUGGGUUGUAAAGCUCUUUUGUCGGGGAAGAAAAUGACUGUACCCGAAUAAGAAGGUCCGGCUAACUUCGUGCCAGCAGCCGCGGUAAUACGAAGGGACCUAGCGUAGUUCGGAAUUACUGGGCUUAAAGAGUUCGUAGGUGGUUGAAAAAGUUGGUGGUGAAAUCCCAGAGCUUAACUCUGGAACUGCCAUCAAAACUUUUCAGCUAGAGUAUGAUA
Molecule: ribosomal RNA, 530 nt
Filed under: uncultured Pelagibacterales bacterium
Lineage: Bacteria; Pseudomonadati; Pseudomonadota; Alphaproteobacteria; Candidatus Pelagibacterales
Description: bacterial SSU rRNA
Rfam family: Bacterial small subunit ribosomal RNA
Source: RNAcentral